UACAGAGGUCCCAAGCGUUGUUCGGAUUCAUUGGGCGUAAAGGGUGCGUAGGCGGCGCGGUAAGUCGGGUGUGAAAUCUCGGGGCUUAACUCCGAAACUGCAUUCGAUACUGCCGUGCUUGAGGACUGGAGAGGAGACUGGAAUUUACGGUGUAGCGGUGAAAUGCGUAGAUAUCGUAAGGAAGACCAGUGGCGAAGGCGGCUCACUGGCCCGAUACUGACGCUGAGGCACGAAAGCGUGGGGAGCAAACAGG
This 253-nucleotide ribosomal RNA is filed under the name uncultured bacterium. RNAcentral describes it as "partial 16S ribosomal RNA". It matches the Rfam family "Bacterial small subunit ribosomal RNA", at positions 524 to 776 of the family's 1533-position model. The record is from RNAcentral.